This 909-nucleotide long non-coding RNA is filed under the name Triticum aestivum (bread wheat). Its description in RNAcentral is "long non-coding RNA (TAES_LNC014626)". The record is from RNAcentral. Lineage: Eukaryota; Viridiplantae; Streptophyta; Magnoliopsida; Poales; Poaceae.
CACAUAUCAAUCAUGUAUGACCUGAACCUUUCAAAUUCCUUAACAGAAUGUCCAGAUCGGUGAAAUGCAGUUCCUCUAAAAAAAUGAAUGAGAGUGAUUGUAGGUACAGUAGUAUGACCAGAAGUAUGGUUGAUGAAACUACAGGUUACUGUCCAGAAUCAUAUUCUUGGGCUCUGCAUUGCCAUGUGCAUACCAAGGUGCCUGAAACCCCAAAGUGAUUAUCUCCCAAAUAAUUACUAACCAAACAGGAAGAUGACGAAGGAUUCCAAUAGCUAAAUUAACAUACAAGUAUUAAUAGCAACAAUUCAGCAUGAGAAAUAGAAGAUUAAAAAGAGGAGUCAUAAUGUGUGGUAUCACUUACCUUAGACUGAAGCUUGGUUAAAAAGAGUGCAGUCACCGAUUAAGCUUCGUUCCUCAUAGCAGCUAGAAAUCAUUUCAUCCAAAUUGUGGCACAUCACACUUUUUUUACAUCAUUCCACUACGGUGCUGCUUCAAAGAAUUAUUGUGUCUGGACCACAACGCCAACGGAACCCAUCCUGCCCAACAACUGUGAGAUGAAGUGAGCAGUUAAAGUAAAGAUAAAUCAUGGAAUGAGAGUAUAUACCGACAACCGUACUCUGUAGUGAGCAGUUAAAGUAAAGAUAAACAGGCAGCAAACGACACAUCAAGAUCAAGCGAACAACAAUUAGAUCAUAUCACGAUGAGGAGAGCAUGUGCCACUACCUUGUCAGGUUAUAUGUCAAUGAUGGAACUGAUUACUCAUCGGCGUCGGAGCGUCAAUGGCCACCAUGUCUCCAGAGCCAGUGAAGGCCGCUGGUGUAGUAGGAGAGGAGGUCACUCCUGGUCUGCUUGGCUAUAAGGAGGUGAAGCAAGAGGAAAUACACGUCGCCCCUGCGGCGGAGGUGGGGU